CAAAAGCUUGGUCCUAACUUUCUUGUCGGCUCUUACUAAGCUUACACAUGCAAGUCUCCGCAGACCUGUGAGAAUGCCCUUAACGUCCCCACCCAGGACACUAGGAGCUGGCAUCAGGCACAAAACUCUUUUGCCCAAAACGCCUUGCUUAGCCACACCCCCAAGGGACUUCAGCAGUGAUAAACCUUAAAGUAUGGGCGAAAGCCUGAAUUAGUAAAAGUAAAGAGGGCCGGCUAAACUCGUGCCAGCCGCCGCGGUUAUACGAGAGGCCCAAGUCGACACAUCCCGGCGUAAAGGGUGGUUAAGAAAAGAAAAAAUAUUAGAGAAAAACGCUCUUCAGGCUGUUAUACGCAACAAGAGUAAGAAUCCUCCACGCGAAAGUAACUCUAUACCAAUCUGAACCCACGAAAACUUUGGUACAAACUGGGAUUAGAUACCCCACUAUGCCAAGUUUUAAACUUAGAUAUCUUAAUACAAAAUAUAUCCGCCAGGGUACUACGAGCAAUAGCUUAAAACCCAAAGGACUUGGCGGUGCUUCAGACCCUCCUAGAGGAGCCUGUUCUAGAACCGAUAAUCCACGUUUAACCUCACCGCCUCUUGCCCUUUACCGCCUAUAUACCGCCGUCGCCAGCCUACCUUAUGAAAGACAAAAAAGUAAGCACAAUAGUUAAAAACAAGCACGUCAGGUCGAGGUGUAGCAUAUGAAGCGGGAAGAAAUGGGCUACAUUCUCUAAUCUAGAGAAUUAACGGAAGGAAUAAUGAAAACUUUUUCCUGAAGGCGGAUUUAGCAGUAAGCUAAUAUAGAAUAAUUAGCUGAAACCGGCUCUGAAGCGCGCACACACCGCCCGUCACUCUCCCCAAUGAAAAAAAUAAUAUCUAUAAAAAAACGAAAAACGAAGGGGAGGCAAGUCGUAACAUGGUAAGUGUACCGGAAGGUGCACUUGGACAAC
Molecule: non-coding RNA, 950 nt
Filed under: Synodus macrops (triplecross lizardfish)
Lineage: Eukaryota; Metazoa; Chordata; Actinopteri; Aulopiformes; Synodontidae
Description: 12S ribosomal RNA
Rfam family: Bacterial small subunit ribosomal RNA
Source: RNAcentral